UACAGAGGAUGCAAGCGUUAUCCGGAAUCACUGGGCGUAAAGGGCGUGUAGGCGGCUGGAUAAGUGGGAUGUUAAAUCCCCCGGCUCAACCGGGGACCUGCAUCUCAUACUGUUCAGCUCGAGCACAUCAGAGGAGACUGGAAUUCCAGGUGUAGCGGUGAAAUGCGUAGAUAUCUGGAGGAACACCGGUGGCGAAGGCGGCAUCCUGGACCAACACUGACGCUGAUGAGCGAAAGCCAGGGGAGCAAACGGG
This 253-nucleotide ribosomal RNA is filed under the name uncultured bacterium. RNAcentral describes it as "partial 16S ribosomal RNA". It matches the Rfam family "Bacterial small subunit ribosomal RNA", at positions 524 to 776 of the family's 1533-position model. The record is from RNAcentral.